The sequence is an unclassified non-coding RNA, 194 nucleotides long. The stretch from base 1 to 46 matches the Rfam family "Eukaryotic small subunit ribosomal RNA", at positions 1786 to 1831 of the family's 1831-position model.
AAGUCGUAACAAGGUUUCCGUAGGUGAACCUGCGGAAGGAUCAUUAUAAAAUUUUCAUAUAUUAUUUAUUUAAUAUAUAAAAUUAUAUACAAAAUGUAUUCAAAACCCACACACUUUAUAACCAAAAAAAAAAUAUAUAUUUUAAUAUAUAUAUAAUAAAAAAACAACUUUCAACAACGGAUCUCUUGGCUCUC